GUGAGGAAUAUUGGUCAAUGGUCGGAAGACUGAACCAGCCAUGCCGCGUGCAGGAAGACGGUCCUAUGGAUUGUAAACUGCUUUUAUUCGGGAAUAAACCUCUUUACGUGUAGGGAGCUGAAGGUACCGAAGGAAUAAGCACCGGCUAACUCCGUGCCAGCAGCCGCGGUAAUACGGAGGGUGCAAGCGUUAUCCGGAAUCAUUGGGUUUAAAGGGUCCGCAGGCGGGCUAUCAAGUCAGAGGUGAAAUCCCACAGCUUAACUGUUGAACUGCCUUUGAAACUGAUGGUCUUGAAUUAAGUGGGCGUUGGCGGAAUAUGACAUGUAGCGGUGAAAUGCAUAGAUAUGUCAUGGAACACCGAAAGCGAAGGCAGCUAACGAUACUUAUAUUGACGCUCAUGGACGAAAGCGUGGGUAGCGAACAGGAUUAGAAACCCGAGUAGUCC
Molecule: ribosomal RNA, 445 nt
Filed under: uncultured bacterium
Lineage: Bacteria
Description: partial 16S ribosomal RNA
Rfam family: Bacterial small subunit ribosomal RNA
Source: RNAcentral